UUCGCCCUUAGAGUUUGAUCCUGGCUCAGGAUGAACGCUAGCUACAGGCUUAACACAUGCAAGUCGAGGGGCAGCAUGGUCUUAGCUUGCUAAGGCCGAUGGCGACCGGCGCACGGGUGAGUAACACGUAUCCAACCUGCCGUCUACUCUUGGACAGCCUUCUGAAAGGAAGAUUAAUACAAGAUGGCAUCAUGAGUCCGCAUGUUCACAUGAUUAAAGGUAUUCCGGUAGACGAUGGGGAUGCGUUCCAUUAGAUAGUAGGCGGGGUAACGGCCCACCUAGUCUUCGAUGGAUAGGGGUUCUGAGAGGAAGGUCCCCCACAUUGGAACUGAGACACGGUCCAAACUCCUACGGGAGGCGGCAGUGAGGAAUAUUGGUCAAUGGGCGAGAGCCUGAACCAGCCAAGUAGCGUGAAGGAUGACUGCCCUAUGGGUUGUAAUCUUCUUUUAUAAAGGAAUAAAGUCGGGUAUGCAUACCCGUUUGCAUGUACUUUAUGAAUAAGGAUCGGCUAACUCCGUGCCAGCAGCCGCGGUAAUACGGAGGAUCCGAGCGUUAUCCGGAUUUAUUGGGUUUAAAGGGAGCGUAGAUGGAUGUUUAAGUCAGUUGUGAAAGUUUGCGGCUCAACCGUAAAAUUGCAGUUGAUACUGGAUAUCUUGAGUGCAGUUGAGGCAGGCGGAAUUCGUGGUGUAGCGGUGAAAUGCUUAGAUAUCACGAAGAACUCCGAUUGCGAAGGCAGCCUGCUAAGCUGCAACUGACAUUGAGGCUCGAAAGUGUGGGUAUCAAACAGGAUUAGAUACCCUGGUAGUCCACACGGUAAACGAUGAAUACUCGCUGUUUGCGAUAUACAGCAAGCGGCCAAGCGAAAGCGUUAAGUAUUCCACCUGGGGAGUACGCCGGCAACGGUGAAACUCAAAUGAAUUGACG
RNAcentral lists this ribosomal RNA (924 nucleotides) under uncultured bacterium. RNAcentral's name for it is "bacterial SSU rRNA". It matches the Rfam family "Bacterial small subunit ribosomal RNA", at positions 1 to 915 of the family's 1533-position model. The record is from RNAcentral.